GAUGAACGCUGACAGAAUGCUUAACACAUGCGAGUCAACUUGAACUUCGGUUUGGGUGGCGGACGGGUGAGUAACGCGUAAAGAACUUGCCUCACAGUUAGGGACAACAUUUGGAAACGAAUGCUAAUACCUGAUAUUAUGAUUUUAGGGCAUCCUAGAAUUAUGAAAGCUAUAUGCGCUGUGAGAGAGCUUUGCGUCCCAUUAGCUAGUUGGAGAGGUAACGGCUCACCAAGGCGAUGAUGGGUAGCCGGCCUGAGAGGGUGAAUGGCCACAAGGGGACUGAGACACGGCCCUUACUCCUACGGGAGGCAGCAGUGGGGAAUAUUGGACAAUGGACCAAGAGUCUGAUCCAGCAAUUCUGUGUGCACGAUGAAGUUUUUCGGAAUGUAAAGUGCUUUCAGUUGGGAAGAAAAAAAUGACGAUACCAACAGAAGAAGUGACGGCUAAAUACGUG
Molecule: ribosomal RNA, 454 nt
Filed under: uncultured bacterium
Lineage: Bacteria
Description: partial 16S ribosomal RNA
Rfam family: Bacterial small subunit ribosomal RNA
Source: RNAcentral